UCAAUAAAUCCGGGGAGCUUGCAGACAGGCUGAGAGGAAGGUGACACCUUCGACCCGAAACCUGAUGUGGGUAAUGCCAACGGAGGAAGAAUCUAUGGAGGACCA
RNAcentral lists this non-coding RNA (105 nucleotides) under Clostridium sp. RNAcentral describes it as "TPP sequence". It matches the Rfam family "TPP riboswitch aptamer (THI element)". From Rfam's summary of the family: Vitamin B(1) in its active form thiamin pyrophosphate (TPP) is an essential coenzyme that is synthesised by coupling of pyrimidine and thiazole moieties in bacteria. The previously detected thiamin-regulatory element, thi box was extended, resulting in a new, highly conserved RNA secondary structure, the THI element, which is widely distributed in eubacteria and also occurs in some archaea. Lineage: Bacteria; Bacillati; Bacillota; Clostridia; Eubacteriales; Clostridiaceae. RNAcentral also lists the same sequence under 1 other name. The record is from RNAcentral.